RNAcentral lists this unclassified non-coding RNA (172 nucleotides) under uncultured Hirsutella. Its description in RNAcentral is "sequence contains ITS1". The record is from RNAcentral. Lineage: Eukaryota; Fungi; Ascomycota; Sordariomycetes; Hypocreales; Ophiocordycipitaceae.
CCGAGUUUUCCAACUCCCAAACCCUUCUGUGAACCUAUACCGACACGUUGCUUCGGCGGGAUCGCCCCGGCGCCCUCAGCGGCGGCCGGGCCCAGGCGCCCGCCGGAGGACCACACCAAACUCUUCAGAUUUUCUUCAGGCGUCUUCUGAGUGACACAAAAAAAAUGAAUCA